Molecule: transfer RNA, 69 nt
Filed under: Dipodomys ordii (Ord's kangaroo rat)
Lineage: Eukaryota; Metazoa; Chordata; Mammalia; Rodentia; Heteromyidae
Rfam family: tRNA
About the family: Transfer RNA (tRNA) molecules are approximately 80 nucleotides in length.
Source: Rfam by way of RNAcentral
GGCGGUGUAGCUUAAUGGUAGAGCAUGUGCUUAACAUGCACAAGACUCUGGGUUUGAUUCCCACUGCCA